RNAcentral lists this long non-coding RNA (888 nucleotides) under Mytilus galloprovincialis (Mediterranean mussel). The record is from RNAcentral. Lineage: Eukaryota; Metazoa; Mollusca; Bivalvia; Mytilida; Mytilidae.
UCUUCUGAUUAUUUUUUUUUUCUUCCGCCUAAUUUUGUUCUUGCGAUAAACAUUUGUUUCGCAAUAUGUCGCUUAGAUAUUUGGUAUAUGAUAUCGAACAGUUUAUGCGCUUUUGAAAUUUACCCUGCGUAAACGAAUACUUUUCUUUGUAGGAGUUAUCUCCCCAAACACUGUUUUCCUUGUUAGCGCAUCUCCUUCGCAACCGUAAUAUAUUAUGACAAAUUUAUUUUAGAAAAUUGCUCGUUAUAUCCUUCCCAUGAUUUGUCCUAUUUUGACCGAAGUUAUAUGAACGCUCCAUAUGAGAGUUAUUUCCCCUUAUGCAUUUGAUAUAAGUGAUAUGCAUUUCUAUCUUGUAAACCAUAAGUGCUAGAGACUUAGGAUCUUUUGAUUUGAGGUCCUUGGUCCCAAAAAAUGAAAAUUAGGUCAAGGUCAAAGGUCAAGGUCAUAUUCUAAUUUUUGAAUUUGGCUAAUUCUGUCUUAUUUCCAGAAACUGUAUAAGAUAACAACAAAUUAUGUUACCUAAAUUGUUUGUUGCGACAUGUCGUUACACGUAAAUUUUGAUUGCAAGGGUACGUUGAACGUAAAAGGGAGUUUUCUCCCCUCUUGUAUUAAAAAAUAUGCGUAUGGUGAUAUAACUCAUUAACCAACUAUAAAUAAGACUUAUAGUCUUUUGAUUUGUGGUCCUUGGUUUGUGACCUUGAAAUAGAAGUCAAGGUCAUAGGUUAAUAGGACGUUCUAGAUUUUGACCUUCUCUUUAAAUUCAUAUAAAUACAUCAUAAAGCCAUAAGGAACUAAUAUUAUUAACUGAUUUUUACUAUAUCAAUAUCAAAAUAGAUCUUUACUAGUGGAAAGACCUUCAAUUGUUCUCUGAACAAUUGGUUUUUAAUU